GACGAACGCUGGCGGCGUGCUUAACACAUGCAAGUCGAACGGAAAGGCCCUGCUUUUGUGGGGCGCUCGAGUGGCGAACGGGUGAGUAACACGUGAGUAACCUGCCCUUGACUUUGGGAUAACUUUAGGAAACUGGGGCUAAUACCGGAUAGGAGCUCCUGCUGCAUGGUGGGGGUUGGAAAGUUUCGGCGGUUGGGGAUGGACUCGCGGCUUAUCAGCUUGUUGGUGGGGUAGUGGCUUACCAAGGCUUUGACGGGUAGCCGGCCUGAGAGGGUGACCGGCCACAUUGGGACUGAGAUACGGCCCAGACUCCUACGGGAGGCAGCAGUGGGGAAUAUUGCACAAUGGGCGGAAGCCUGAUGCAGCGACGCCGCGUGCGGGAUGACGGCCUUCGGGUUGUAAACCGCUUUCGCCUGUGACGAAGCGUGAGUGACGGUAAUGGGUAAAGAAGCACCGGCUAACUACGUG
This 468-nucleotide ribosomal RNA is filed under the name uncultured bacterium. RNAcentral describes it as "partial 16S ribosomal RNA". It matches the Rfam family "Bacterial small subunit ribosomal RNA", at positions 28 to 507 of the family's 1533-position model. The record is from RNAcentral.